UGGGGAAUAUUGCACAAUGGGCGCAAGCCUGAUGCAGCAACGCCGCGUGAACGAUGAAGGUCUUCGGAUCGUAAAGUUCUGUUGCAGGGGAAGAUAAUGACGGUACCCUGUGAGGAAGCCCCGGCUAACUACGUGCCAGCAGCCGCGGUAAUACGUAGGGGGCUAGCGUUAUCCGGAUUUACUGGGCGUAAAGGGUGCGUAGGUGGUCUUUCAAGUCGGUGGUUAAAGGCUACGGCUCAACCGUAGUUAGCCUCCGAAACUGGAAGACUUGAGUGCAGGAGAGGAAAGUGGAAUUCCCAGUGUAGCGAUGAAAUGCGUAGAUAUUGGGAGGAAAACCAGUAGCGAAGGCGGCUUUCUGGACUGCAACUGACACUGAGGCACGAAAGCGUGGGUAGCAAACAGG
RNAcentral lists this ribosomal RNA (403 nucleotides) under Verrucomicrobiota bacterium. Its description in RNAcentral is "Verrucomicrobia bacterium partial 16S ribosomal RNA". It matches the Rfam family "Bacterial small subunit ribosomal RNA", at positions 355 to 776 of the family's 1533-position model. Lineage: Bacteria; Pseudomonadati; Verrucomicrobiota. The record is from RNAcentral.